AGCACACACUCCACACUGACCUCUCCAGCGGCGAACAGCGUCGUCAGAACCGUAUUAGGUGCCAAAAAGUCCCGAUUUCUCAGGUUUUUGGCGCUGCUCUCUUUAAACCAGACCUUCUCUCGUUCCCGGCUGAUGUCAGUUUCGCAUCCCUCGUCUCCCCGCAGCGCACCGCUUAAAGCUUUGACGGUGGACACGAUGCUAAACGGUACAGAAUCCUCCAUCAUUGGGCUCAGUUUAUAGUCAUCGUUAUCGACAACGAAACUAGUGGGCUGUUAGUGAUACAAGUAACCUUAAUAAAAGCCCAGCGCUACAGUACUGCUCGGAGACCCCGAUUGACCACCAAUCAAAACAGAUGCAUAGGGGGCCGGCCGGAACGUUAAGAUGAUGGAUGCGGUAGACGGGGAGGUAUUUUCAUGCAACAAUACGGGCACGUGAAAGACGCCAUUUUAAGUGUGGCAAAAGGCAUCUUCAGAAACUGAUUCAAAGAAGUCUGCUGAUACUACAUACAGAAUCCUGUGUAUUUGAGUUGCCGUGUUGGGUUUGAGGCCAACAAAAUGUGCAUACUUGUGCUUGAAAAACCUGUUCUCUAUCAGAAAGGAGCUGGAAAGAAAGAAGGAAGGGGGAGGAGGCUGAUCACGAGAGAUUAACCUGGAUAAUAAAAAGCGCGAUUAACAUGAAGUCAAAUGAAAGGAGGAACUUGAAAUAUGUAACUACUAUUAACUACAUAGAAAUAAUGGUUUAAGGCAGGUUAGUUUAAAUGACCUGUCCUCAUCUUACAGUAUUUUCAAGACUUAGUAAGUGAAGAAAGAUGUACAAAAUGAAAAAGUCUAAAACAAUGUACAUUUGGAUGCUUUUCUUUAUUUCUAAUUGCAGGCAAUCGUGCAACAAACCAUAACUUUGAAUGUGAAAGAAAUACAACAAAUAUUAAGGAAGCAGAGAGAAGGGGAAGGUAAACAGAAAUGAAAGAAAUUCACUAUCACUGUGAUCUACAACAAGAGAGCACGCUCAAAAUGAGGCGUAAAAUGAGUUUAAAAUCACAAAGAUGAAGUAGAAAUGACACACAAGAGAGAUGAAACAGAUUCUUUACCUAGCUUCUGUCAUUCCUUGAUUUUGUAUGGUCUCUCUCUCUCUCCCUCUCUCUCUGUCUGGCUGGUUUGAGUUACUGUCGGUGUGUUUGCGUAUUUAUACCUCCUGACUUCCUCCUUAGAAAUCUGAGGAACAUUUUCACUUUCACUUCUUCACUAGGCUGCCCAUAGCCUCCCCCCUUCUCAUAAUAAUCCUUACUAUCAUCCGUCUCUUAUUCAUUCUUAUAUGUAUCUAUUUUUUUUUACUCAUUCAUGCAAUUCAGUGUAUAUGCUGAAAAUGUAUCUACCCAAUUCUAAUUAUUUUUUGCACUUAACAGCAAUAGCUUGUUGGAAAGCCAAUACUGAUAUACACAUGACCUGUCAAUCAUUUCAUUUUUGCUGUGU
Misgurnus anguillicaudatus (oriental weatherfish) is the source of this 1469-nucleotide long non-coding RNA. RefSeq lists it as uncharacterized. The record is from RefSeq and is a predicted model, not a curated record. NCBI's taxonomy places the organism in Eukaryota, Metazoa, Chordata, Actinopteri, Cypriniformes, Cobitidae.